CGACUACAUGAAGCUGGAAUCGCUAGUAAUCGCGAAUCAGCAUGCCGCGGUGAAUACGUUCCCGGGCCUUGUACACACCGCCCGUCACACCAUGAGAGUCGGGAACACCCGAAGUCCGUAGCCUAACCGCAAGGGGGGCGCGGCCGAAGGUGGGUUCGAUAAUUGGGGUGAAGUCGUAACAAGGUACC
Molecule: ribosomal RNA, 188 nt
Filed under: uncultured bacterium
Lineage: Bacteria
Description: partial 16S ribosomal RNA
Rfam family: Bacterial small subunit ribosomal RNA
Source: RNAcentral